This 74-nucleotide transfer RNA is filed under the name Coemansia aciculifera. RNAcentral describes it as "tRNA-Trp". It matches the Rfam family "tRNA". From Rfam's summary of the family: Transfer RNA (tRNA) molecules are approximately 80 nucleotides in length. Their secondary structure includes four short double-helical elements and three loops (D, anti-codon, and T loops). Further hydrogen bonds mediate the characteristic L-shaped molecular structure. tRNAs have two regions of fundamental functional importance: the anti-codon, which is responsible for specific mRNA codon recognition, and the 3' end, to which the tRNAs corresponding amino acid is attached (by aminoacyl-tRNA synthetases). tRNAs cope with the degeneracy of the genetic code in two manners: having more than one tRNA (with a specific anti-codon) for a particular amino acid; and 'wobble' base-pairing, i.e. permitting non-standard base-pairing at the 3rd anti-codon position. Lineage: Eukaryota; Fungi; Kickxellomycota; Kickxellomycetes; Kickxellales; Kickxellaceae. The record is from RNAcentral.
GGGGUCAUGGCGCAAUUGGUAGUCGCGUCCGCCUCCAGAGCGGAAGGUUGUUGGUUCAAAUCCUGCUGGUCCCA